RNAcentral lists this unclassified non-coding RNA (206 nucleotides) under Hevea brasiliensis (rubber tree). Lineage: Eukaryota; Viridiplantae; Streptophyta; Magnoliopsida; Malpighiales; Euphorbiaceae. The record is from RNAcentral.
GAGAGGUUCCUCCAGAGGAUUCACUUAAGUCUUUGAAUUACAUUCAAAAAACUGUUCCUGUCUACAUGAAUACCAAUUUCUCUGGAGACCCGCUUUACAAAGAAUAUCUUCAAAGCUAUUUAAGUUCAAAGGCUGUGAUAACCAAACCAUUAGAUUUAGAUACCACAACAGCUUUGUUUCUGGACUACUUCCCAGAAGAAGGACAA